Molecule: long non-coding RNA, 4564 nt
Filed under: Eutrema salsugineum
Lineage: Eukaryota; Viridiplantae; Streptophyta; Magnoliopsida; Brassicales; Brassicaceae
Description: long non-coding RNA (ESAL_LNC001965)
Source: RNAcentral
GUCGAACUCACAUAGCUUGCAUCUGUAGAACAAACCCUCGACGGACUCGUUGCAGAUGUCGCACACGCGUUCGUUCUGGCGCGUGGACUGCUUUUGACGGAAGAGGCUGAUCUCGUGCUGGGGAUGAGUGAAGUUUUGGAGGGUGAAGGGACACGUGGCGCAGUAUUCGUGGAGAUCGUAGUUGCAUGGCUCGCAUCUAUAGGUUUUGUCUGAGCCGUAGGUUUUGCAGCCGUCGCAGAUAAAGUCACAUGCGAUGUUCAACUCCGUUAGUGGAUGAUUGUGCGUGAAAUGCUGAACGGCGCGCGGUUUUGGUGUCUUUGAAGCCAUCUUUAGCGUUUUUGGUGUGUGUGUGUGUGUUUUUUUAAAAAAAGGUUCGGAUUUGAGAAAAUAAACGGUGGUAUAAGAACGAAUACUUUUGAGAUGAUUCCAAAUAUUGUUUCGGAAAUAAAUAAGAACUUUCGCUAGACUGGUUACAAAAGACUGAAAGAUAGUACUUUUGUUGACUUGUCUAGAUAAGGUUAACGUGCUCUAGAAAUGUGUGGUACCGUAAUUUAGUUGACUGACUAUGUAUGACUUAACGAUCAAUAUUGUGGCCUCUUCCUCAUAAUCACAUAUCAACAUUUCAUUGUCUUCAUGAUAAAGGACUGCGCUCCAAUUUUCACAGUAGAAAAUGGACUGGAUUACAGUGAAAUGUUAAACUCAAAAGUAAAAUAUUUUUAUUCAAAAUUAGAACUAUCAUUUAAAAGACGAUAAAUAAAACAUAUCAGUCAAAAAAUAUGUUAAGAGAUUAAUGUUUUAUGUAUGGAAUUGAUUUCUUAGUUUAGUUGUAGUGUUUUUUUUUUUUUACUUCCAAUUAAAGAUUUUUAUUAUGUCUAUAUGUCUUGUAGAUGUUUGAAAUAGGUCUAUUUGGUGGACUGUGGGGAACUCUAGUUCGCACAGGCUGAGAUCUAUGAUGGUAUAGACUUUUUUUUAAUGCUAGUGUUACUAUAUUUUUCGAUAAAUUAUUUUAUUACUUACACAACAAAAAAUGUUUGUUCCAGAUUAAAUAAAUUUCUGAAUCCGCUCGUGUACCCAUUUUGUUUGGACAUGCAUGUGGAACAAGGUGGUCGUAAGGCCAAGAGAAAAGCCUUGCAUACACGUACGAGUCCAACGGAAUACGAAGAUUCUCGGAAAUGUAGACCGAAGUGGUGGAAAUAGUCCAACCAAAACUGUUCCAAAACAUCCAAUAGUAAAUAGUUUGAAACAUCAAAAGAAAAAUGAUACGAAAUUAUGGAGAUCAAAUAGACUUGCCAGAGAUGUGGUCCAUGUGGAGUUAUUGAGAUAAUGAUGUGCAGAAGAGUCUUAGUCCAUUAUCUUUAGUACCAAUUUCUUCUAUUGGGUUUAUAUUUACGUACUUGUAUAAACAUUCUAGUUUAUGAAUUAAUAGAAUCAACUUUUUUAUCCAAUUUAGUUUGGAAGCGGAGGAAACAAUUACCCUGAGUAUCUUUCUUUCUUACAAAUUUGGAAUUUAUCACCGAUCAUGUUGAUUCAAAAUAAUUUUCCAACGAAUUCGGUUAAUACGAACGUGGAUCAUCUCUUUUGAACAAUUCCAAAUAAAUAAAAUCCGAUGACACUGUAAAUUAGGUGGUUUAUCUGGAAAAAAUAAAUAAAGUAAAAAUGGUAUUUUUCAGGGUGCUCAACCGGAGUCGCCUUAAUAUGGUAACACGUACUUUUUAAAAUUUUCUAAAUUUAUUGUAUAAAAAGAAAAAGAAAUCAAACAUAUAUAACGAAAAAGAAAGCAAACAUAACGAAAAAAAAAAACGAAAAAGAAAACAAACAUAACGAAUAGAGAAACAAGACAUAGCAUGGCAGGAAGUUAAUGUUAGAGACGUGCCAUUUCAAAAGCCGCCGCUAAAGGCUUCGGAGACCGGUGCAGCGAUGAUAUUGCAAACAACACCAACCGUUAGAGCCAUCAAAACGCCAAACAUUCUUCUUCCUAUACUUGGACGCGACUCUUGAACAUGACCUUGAUGAUUUGUAUAUCCGUGAUUGUAAUAAGGCUGGUAAUACUGAGAAGGGUGAUAAUACGGUUGUGACCCAUCAUAACACCUCUCCUGAAACGUCGUCGCUGCGACUGAUGAUGCUGACGAAUUAACGCAUUCCAUGUGAACAUCUAACCGGCAUGGACCACACUUGUACCGCCAAGACCGGAUUGCCCCGUGGCAAACCAUGCACGCGCUGCUUGCUCCCCAAUGACUCAGGUCUAAGAGAUGGGCCUGAUGGGGCACGUGCCUCACGUGCUGAGGCAGCCACGUGCAGAGUGGAUGGACGUCGAAGCCGCAAGGCUCGCAUUGGUAAAAGAGCCCUUCGGCUGAUUCGUCGCAGAUGUCGCACAUACGUUUGUCAUGGUGCGUCUGCUCUGGUCCUCUAAAGACUAGUCGUAGCUCGUGUUGUGGAUGCAUGAAGCUGAGGAGGGUAGGGGGACACGUAGCGCAGUGAUCGUGGAGAUUGUAGUCGCACCAGGAGCAACGGUAGGUCUUCCCAAAACCGUAGGUUUUGCAGCCAUUGCAUGUGAACUCGCCAUAUCCAUCAAACUUUGUUAAUGGAUGCAUAUGGGUGAAAUGUUGGACUACGUGACUUGACGAAGACAUUUCGUGGUUCUUAUUUGUUUGUUCUUGAGAACGGUUAAGAUUUGAGAGAAUGAGUGGGGUGGUUUAAAAAGAACUAGUUUUUAGAACCAUUCUCAAACAAACUUUUUUUGGCAACUUGACUACUUGAGUUAAAACUUUGGUUUAGAGUCUUUAGACCAUCAAACAAAUAAUAGUUUCUGUAUAGCUGUCCUUACAAAAAUAUUAGCUUUCGUUCACUUGUACGCCAAAAACAAUAACUUUAACUUGGUCUUUAGAAAUUUUGAGAACGUGGUGAAGUAGUGUAGUUGACUUUGGCUAGUUGACUGAAUUUGGCCUCUUUUGAUUCGCGUCACAAUUUCUUUUUUUUUUUCAUUUUUUUUAAAACGUAUGAGUUUUUUAGUCGAUUUUCACAAAUAAAUCUACACAAUAAAUAUUCAUUUCUUUCGAAUAUUUUCCAAUGGUCGAAGAACAUGAUAUAUCAAGAAAUAAUUUCCCUUUGUUAUUGAGUCAGAUUGGAUGUAAACCAUAGCUUAAUCUGUUGUUUGAGAAUCAGAUUUUUACUCCAUGGUUAUUCCUCCCACGAUGUAUACUCCAUGUGCUUGUAUUUUGUAAGUUAUGAUCGCACCUCAUUCCAAGAACCUGAAAGCAUCAUGACAUGCCUUGGAUUGGGUAGCCUUAUCAACCCAUGAUUAACGUUUUAUCGCCUCUUGACUUUUUUUUAUACGUUCAAAUGAAUGGAUUUUUUCUACUAUCCAAACAACAUAAUUAUUACAAAAAUAUAUAUCUAAAUUGUAAUGUUUUUCUAUUUAAAUGAUAUAUAGUUGAUAAAUGAUUGUUUUCGAUCUUUCCUAGUAUCUAUUCGGAAGAACAAAUUGGUGAUUAUUUAUUACAGUUAACAUAAUUUUCAGUGUUGUGAUUUUAUUUUACACAACUGUGUAGCAAAAAAAGGAAAAGUAGAGAACCUGAUACAAACUGAUUUGCAUAAAGUUUGAGACUUUGAGUGGUUACUUUGGCCAGAAUGAUUUUUAUUUGUUGAAAAAGUUUCUGCAUUUUUGGCACAAAAUAUUAAAAUACAAAAAAAAAACAACAAAAUAAUACAUGUUUGCGUUUUCUUUGUAAAAAUUCAAAACUCACGCAAAAAGACUUUCAACGGAAAGCCCAAACAGUACAUUAGAAACCACCCCAAUUGUUAGCUUCGACGCAACGGUAAACAUUCUCCAGCCCUUACCCGGAUUCGGCUUUUGACCCGCUCCGGCCACUGGUACUUGGCCCUGGUCAUAUCGAACCCGUUCAUGUAACUAAAGUUAUUAGGGUUAGAGAUGAUAAGGCUGUGACCAUACGCAUAAGGGUAACCAAAAGCCGGUUGUUGACCCAUCGGUCCAUAACCAUAAGGGUAACCAACAUGCGGUUGUUGCCACGACGCCGAUGAAGAUGGUUGUCCUCCAUGUGCCUUGAGCCCUCUGCUUUUAAUACCCGAUUCAUCUGUCGGGUCAGAAGGUGACGUGUUACACACGGCUAAGAUACACUCCAUAUGAAUAUCAAACCUACAUAGCUCACACCUAUAUCUCCAAGACUGGCACGGGCCACGACAAACCAUACACGCGCUUGCUCCACCGAGGCGAAACUCCAAGUGAUGAGCAGGGUGAAGCACGUGCCUCACGUGCUGAGGCAGCUGCGUGCAGAGCGGGUGUACGUCGAACUCACAUAGCUUGCAUCUGUAGAACAAACCCUCGACAGACUCGUUGCAGAUGUCGCACGCGCGUUCGUUUUGGCGCGUGGACUGUUGUUUACGGACGACGAGGCUGAGCUCGUGCUGGGGAUGAAUGAAGGUCGGGAGGGUGAGUGGACACGUGGCACAGUAUUCGUGGAGAUCGUAGUUGCAUGGUUCGCAUCGAUAGGUUUUGCCUGAGCCGUAGGUUUUGCAGCCGUCGCAGUUGAAGUCACCGACGCUGUUA